AGGGGACAAGCAGAAAUUGGUAUGCGACUAGCUUGAAAUUAGGAUGAGGGGGUUCGAGUCCUCCGUCUCUUG
Molecule: transfer RNA, 72 nt
Filed under: Cyrtodactylus auribalteatus (Golden-belted bent-toed gecko)
Lineage: Eukaryota; Metazoa; Chordata; Lepidosauria; Squamata; Gekkonidae
Description: tRNA Ser
Rfam family: tRNA
About the family: Transfer RNA (tRNA) molecules are approximately 80 nucleotides in length. Their secondary structure includes four short double-helical elements and three loops (D, anti-codon, and T loops). Further hydrogen bonds mediate the characteristic L-shaped molecular structure. tRNAs have two regions of fundamental functional importance: the anti-codon, which is responsible for specific mRNA codon recognition, and the 3' end, to which the tRNAs corresponding amino acid is attached (by aminoacyl-tRNA synthetases). tRNAs cope with the degeneracy of the genetic code in two manners: having more than one tRNA (with a specific anti-codon) for a particular amino acid; and 'wobble' base-pairing, i.e. permitting non-standard base-pairing at the 3rd anti-codon position.
Source: RNAcentral